Molecule: ribosomal RNA, 403 nt
Filed under: Verrucomicrobiota bacterium
Lineage: Bacteria; Pseudomonadati; Verrucomicrobiota
Description: Verrucomicrobia bacterium partial 16S ribosomal RNA
Rfam family: Bacterial small subunit ribosomal RNA
Source: RNAcentral
UGGGGAAUAUUGCACAAUGGGGGAAACCCUGAUGCAGCGACGCCGCGUGAGCGAAGAAGGUUUUCGAAUCGUAAAGCUCUGUCCUAUGAGAAGAUAAUGACGGUAUCAUAGGAGGAAGCCCCGGCUAAAUACGUGCCAGCAGCCGCGGUAAUACGUAUGGGGCGAGCGUUGUCCGGAAUUAUUGGGCGUAAAGGGUACGUAGGCGGUCUAUUAAGUCAGGUGUGAAAGCGUGAGGCUUAACCUCAUUAAGCACUUGAAACUGAUAGACUUGAGUGAAGGAGAAGAAAGGGGAAUUCCUAGUGUAGCGGUGAAAUGCGUAGAUAUUAGGAGGAAUACCGGUGGCGAAGGCGACUUUCUGGGCUUUUACUGACGCUCAGGUACGAAAGCGUGGGGAGCAAACAGG